This 608-nucleotide ribosomal RNA is filed under the name uncultured Mortierella. RNAcentral's name for it is "eukaryotic LSU rRNA". The stretch from base 163 to 316 matches the Rfam family "5.8S ribosomal RNA". Lineage: Eukaryota; Fungi; Mortierellomycota; Mortierellomycetes; Mortierellales; Mortierellaceae. The record is from RNAcentral.
AAGGAUCAUUCAUAAUAAGUGUUUUAUGGCACUUUUUUAAAUCCAUAUCCACCUUGUGUGCAAUGUCAGGGUUGGUCUCUUGAAAAAGAGAUCAACCCCAAACAUCAACCCAAUCUUAACUCUUUGUCUGAAAAAUAUUAUGAAUAAAACAAUUCAAAAUACAACUUUCAACAACGGAUCUCUUGGCUCUCGCAUCGAUGAAGAACGCAGCGAAAUGCGAUACGUAAUGUGAAUUGCAGAAUUCAGUGAAUCAUCGAAUCUUUGAACGCAUAUUGCGCUCUUUGGUAUUCCGAAGAGCAUGCUUGUUUGAGUAUCAGUAAACACCUCAAAGUCUUUUUUUUUAUUAAAAAAGACUUUGGACUUGAGCAAUCCCAACACCAAUCUCUUGAGAGUGGGGGCGGGUUGCUUGAAAUGCAGGUGCAGCUGGACAUUCUCCUGAGCUAAAAGCAUAUUCAUUUAGUCCCGUCAAACGGAUUAUUACUUUUGCUGCAGCUAACAUAAAGGGAGUUUGACCAUUUUGGCUGACUGAUGCAGGAUUUUCACAAGAGUCUUCAAAAGCUUUUGUUAAACUCGAUCUCAAAUCAAGUAAGACUACCCGCUGAACUUAA